AGAAUCAACGCUGGCGGCGUGCCUAACACGUGCAAGUCGAACGAGAAAGUGGAGCAAUCCAUGCGUAAAGUGGCGCACGGGUGAGUAACACGUGACUAACCUAUCCUUGAGUGGGGAAUAACUGAGGGAACCUUAGCUAAUACCGCAUAACACCUACGGGUCAAAGGAGCAAUUCGCUUAAGGAGGGGUCGCGGCAGAUUAGUUAGUUGGCGGGGUAAUGGCCCACCAAGACAGUGAUCUGUA
RNAcentral lists this ribosomal RNA (243 nucleotides) under uncultured bacterium. RNAcentral describes it as "partial small subunit ribosomal RNA". It matches the Rfam family "Bacterial small subunit ribosomal RNA", at positions 26 to 285 of the family's 1533-position model. The record is from RNAcentral.